This 2383-nucleotide long non-coding RNA is filed under the name Marmota monax (woodchuck). The record is from RNAcentral. Lineage: Eukaryota; Metazoa; Chordata; Mammalia; Rodentia; Sciuridae.
CUAGACUUGUUUUUCUGCUAUUCAGACUGAGUUCUUCUCAGGUCAUGAGUCGAUCAUGAAAUAUAUAUAUAUGACUUAACUUUUAUUUUGAGAAGUCAGAUUUUGUCAAACUGUCAUUAGAGCUCUUUUUUAAUUUGUUUAUAAAAUCGUUAAACUGGAAGGAAAGAAAAAUGACCUUAUUCAUUCCUUUUCAGGUUUACAUCACCCUUUAGAAGAGCUAUCGACCACAUGAAGAUCCACCUAGCUGUGAUGGACUAUUUUCUGCAUGCCUAAUGAUUAGAGAGACUCUGUUGUGUGUCUUGAUAAAUACACUAACAUUUAGUUUACUUACCUUUUUUUAUAAGACUUGCUAGUAACUAGGUGUGGAGGUGACCAAGUUAAAAAAUAAUUGAGGUUCAAUAUACAGCUGAUUUGUUGAUGAACCCACAAUAGCUCCCACAAGGGAGAUGUGGUCACCUCUUUUCUUUUUAGGCACUGGAAAAAUAUUGUUUGACAACUGCCCAGGAUUAACUCCAGUGAUAUAUGCUCUAUAGAGACAAUAAUAACCCCAAUCAUGACCAUUUUGUGGAGUACAUGCUCCGUAUGUGCCAGGCAUUGUGUUAAGUGCUUUCCUCACGUGAUCUCAGAGCGCCUGUAACCAGCCUAGGAGGCUCAUUUUACUCUCAGUUGGAGGAGGGCAGUUAUUUAGUUAUUUUUCAGGAUCCAUGUGGCUUAUAAAUAGCAGAGCCAGUCUCAACCUAGAGUCUGUCUGAUUUAUAAAUCCAGAUCAUAGCUACAGCUCCAGUCACCCAGUGAUAGCCUACACAAAUCAACGUCAUUGUGCUUUCCUAAGUUCAUUGUAUUAUCUGUGAAGUGUCUCAUCUCUCUAGAAACCGUAUCUUAUUUCUCUUUUUAUUCCCAGUACUUUGCACAGCAUUUAUUAUGUAGAAGGUUUCUCAAUUAAUUUUUUCUUGAAUAAAUACACUAAAAUGGCUAUUAUUCAUGAUCUUCCUAUGUAUGAAAAUUAGGAGACCGUUUUACCCACUCUCAUCCAACAACAAUUAUAGAUAGAUGGUGGCUCCAUUAUGCCAGUGUUUAUGGCAGCCUCAGAUUCUCAUAAUAUUCUCUCUCAUCAAAGGCUCAAGAAAAGCCUUGGCUUAAGCUUUUGUAAUCUGAUGAUACCUGGGCAGAGAACACAAGGCACAAUGAAUAAUGAGUAGCCUUAUUUUCUCUUUUACCUACUAACUUUUUAGCAACUGCCAGAUAUGAUGAACUUGUGCUUUUUCUAUUUUUCAUCUUUAAACACAGAUUACCCCUCUUAUUGCCCCUGAUCUUCUCCUUUAUGAAAUGAUCAUAUUUAAAUCAGGAACAUAUUGGGGUAAUACACUUAGAAUGGAGUGCUUCUUGAUCAAUAGUUUCAUUUGUUUAUUCAUUUAUAAAGUCACAUUUAAUUUUGAUAAUGUCAGAUGGAGUAUUGGGAGGAAAAUAAGAUAAUAAGUUUUCCCUAACUCCUGAAACAUUUUGAAUUAUGUGUAUAUUCAUGCAACCUCAAAAAAACAGGGAAAAAGAUUUUAGUUUUCAAAGUGGACAGACAUUUUAUUUGGGCUUUGGUUAAAAUGUAUCAAUUCUAUUUUUUUUAUACUCUACCUACAACAUACACAUAUACCACUGCAUUCCCAGCAAGUAAAGUUUAGGAGUUAUCUCUUUCCAGCCAAGCAUUCUAUGUUUUGGUUAAUAAUUUGGAAUGAGUUUGACAUUUGAGUCUAUGUGGUCCUUAACUUAUUUCUUCCCAUGAAGGGAACAGGAUGGUAGCUUGAUCAAACAGAUGGCCUUAGUAAAUGUCAGAAACUUCUUUUGGGUUCAGAAGAAGUCCUCUGUGAAAUCCCCAGGUAGGAAGUAAUAGGCUACAACCUGUCCAAAUCUGUCAUCUAGAAGUUCUAGAGGAACCAGAUCUGAAGCCAGAUGUGAGUCUGGAUUAAAGAGGAUACCACUGCCUGUAAAUGCAAAGAGAUAAUUUUAAAUGGGGUCUUUCCACUUAUUCAUCAGAAGAGGGUGUCCUUUUUUAUCUCCUUUGUUUUGUUCAGGCUAUAUAUCUCUUUAGGUGAUAGUUAAAUGUGUUCUGUUAAAUUCUAUUUACAUAGAUAAUUCAUUUAGUUAAUCCAUUCAUUAUCCACCAUUAUGAAGACAUAGCUAUGUUUUAGGGAUGCAAAGAAUGAUUCCAGUCAGUAUGUUUACAGCAUAGCAAGAGAAGCAAUCAUGUUAAACAAUACACCUGUUUUCUGUUAUAAUGUAAAAAGAAGCAAAUCUAAAGCUCUAUCUUUAAGUUAUCGUUAAAGAUAUACAUUAUUGUACAGUAUGCAUGCUUAUCAAAAUGUCUUUGGAAGUACCGUUAAGCAUUAUAAAU